Molecule: long non-coding RNA, 777 nt
Organism: Cucumis melo (muskmelon)
Lineage: Eukaryota; Viridiplantae; Streptophyta; Magnoliopsida; Cucurbitales; Cucurbitaceae
Exons: 2
Source: RefSeq, a predicted model, not a curated record
AAUACUACUCAUAUAAUAACUUUUAAAAUGCACAAAAAUAGUUAGAAGUAUAUAAAAGAAAUAGAAAAAAAAAAAUGGCUUCCAAGAAGCACUUCUCAAGAAUAGUUGCUAUUGUGUUGAGUCUUCUGCUUCUCUUCACUACCACUGUCACCUCAAAAAGGCAUUUGCUUACAUCUCCUAAUGCUAAUGGACAACGAUCUGGAACUCAGGAAGCUCUUGAUCAGCCAUGGGACCCCGGCUCGCACGGUGUGUGGGGGGGCGGUGGUGGAUGGGGAGGAGGACGACCUCAGAAUCACACACCUCAGCGAAAGGCAAAAGUUAAGACCUAGAGAAAAAUACAUAUGUGGACAUAAUAUAUAAAUAUGAAUAUAGUGUCCUAAAGUGUAAAUAUAUAAACUAUAAGUAUAAGUGCCUCUUUGAAAUUUCUUUUCAAGUGUUUUAGAAGAAAACUACUUUGAGGUAUAAACCCUUGAAAAGUCAGUUCAAACAGAUUAUCUAAAAUGUGUUUAAGAAUGAGUGCAAAUGUAGUUUGUAAGUAAUAGAAUUAGUGUGGUUGAUUUUUAUGCUAUUCGCUUUUGUUUAUUUAGGAGUUAGUGGUCUUGGCUUAAUGUGAUUGAUUAAGGGAGAAUUGUAAGGUUGGUAGCACUUGUGGUCUAAAUAUGUAUAUAGUUAGUGUGUUAGUGGUCUGUUUUUUAUGUACCUAUACCUAUAUAAAUACACUUGUAAUGUUUCCAUUUCAAUAAAUAUAGAUGUGAUCAUACUUGAUCCUCUAUGUCA